RNAcentral lists this ribosomal RNA (492 nucleotides) under uncultured bacterium. RNAcentral describes it as "partial 16S ribosomal RNA". It matches the Rfam family "Bacterial small subunit ribosomal RNA", at positions 28 to 507 of the family's 1533-position model. The record is from RNAcentral.
GAUGAACGCUAGCUACAGGCUUAACACAUGCAAGUCGAGGGGCAGCGGUAUCGAAAGCUUGCUUUCGGUAGCCGGCGACCGGCGCACGGGUGAGUAACGCGUAUCGAACCUGCCUCAUACUCGGGAAUAGCCUUGCGAAAGUAAGAUUAAUGCCCGGUGUUUUCAGAGUCCCGCAUGAGGCUUUGAACAAAGAUUUAUCGGUAUGAGAUGGCGAUGCGUCCCAUUAGCUUGUUGGCGGGGUAACGGCCCACCAAGGCAUCGAUGGGUAGGGGUUCUGAGAGGAAGGUCCCCCACAUUGGAACUGAGACACGGUCCAAACUCCUACGGGAGGCAGCAGUGAGGAAGAUUGGUCAAUGGGCGGAAGCCUGAACCAGCCAAGUAGCGUGCAGGAAGACGGCCCUCCGGGUGGUAAACUGCUUUUAGUUGGGAAUAAAACGGGGCUCGUGAGCCCCCUUGCAUGUACCAUCAGAAAAAGGACCGGCUAAUUCCGUG